Molecule: non-coding RNA, 222 nt
Organism: Pelobates cultripes (western spadefoot toad)
Lineage: Eukaryota; Metazoa; Chordata; Amphibia; Anura; Pelobatidae
Source: the annotation of a GenBank genome assembly
CUGAUACACAAUGACACAUAUUCAGGUCAAAAUGUACACAUUUUCAGCCACCCUCCUGUUACUUACCUUUUGGGUGCAAGAGGAUGGAUUAUGCUGGCUGACGCUGUUGGGAGUCAGGUUCUGGCUCUCCCAAUCUGCGCCUUCUCCUCCCUAUCUCUCCUGCAUGUUUCUGUAUUAACUAGGAGGAAAUUACUGGCUUUCAUUUCCUCCAAGCGCUGCCAU